Molecule: long non-coding RNA, 389 nt
Filed under: Cyanistes caeruleus (blue tit)
Lineage: Eukaryota; Metazoa; Chordata; Aves; Passeriformes; Paridae
Description: lncRNA (ENSCCEG00000018841.1)
Source: RNAcentral
CACCUAUUUUACUGGACCUGUGGAGCAUGAACUUUCCUUCUGGAAUCAACCAGCAAAGACCCGACUUUCUCCAGGACCCAGUACCUUCUUGCUUGUCAGCUGUUCGUCGUUCACUGGCAAGUCCCAUCUAAUGGCCAGGUAAAAAGAUCCCUGCCUAUUCAGUAUACCAGACAUCUUAAAGUUUUUAGCAAAUGAGGACAUCAUCAGCCUUCCUUCCAGUCCAGUGAAUUUCAACAUCUAGUUUUCCUCUCCAGUCUUCUUACAGCCUGAGCUUAUACACAAGGGAUUUAGGACUACUAGAAGGCUUGAUGUUUUUUCAAAUGCAUGUUCUACUAAAGACAGUGAUGCACACUUUGCUAGCAUAUUUCACAGCUGUAAGCUAACAGAUG